UGGGGAAUAUUGCACAAUGGGCGCAAGCCUGAUGCAGCAACGCCGCGUGCGGGAUGACGGCCUUCGGGUUGUAAACCGCUUUUAGUAGGGAAGAAGCCUUCGGGUGACGGUACCUGCAGAAAAAGGACCGGCUAACUACGUGCCAGCAGCCGCGGUAAUACGUAGGGUCCGAGCGUUGUCCGGAAUUAUUGGGCGUAAAGAGCUCGUAGGCGGUUUGUCGCGUCUGCUGUGAAAUCUAGAGGCUCAACCUCUAGCCUGCAGUGGGUACGGGCAGACUUGAGUGGUGUAGGGGAGACUGGAAUUCCUGGUGUAGCGGUGGAAUGCGCAGAUAUCAGGAGGAACACCGAUGGCGAAGGCAGGUCUCUGGGCACUUACUGACGCUGAGGAGCGAAAGCGUGGGGAGCGAACAGG
RNAcentral lists this ribosomal RNA (411 nucleotides) under Verrucomicrobiota bacterium. Its description in RNAcentral is "Verrucomicrobia bacterium partial 16S ribosomal RNA". It matches the Rfam family "Bacterial small subunit ribosomal RNA", at positions 355 to 776 of the family's 1533-position model. Lineage: Bacteria; Pseudomonadati; Verrucomicrobiota. The record is from RNAcentral.